RNAcentral lists this unclassified non-coding RNA (342 nucleotides) under soil metagenome. RNAcentral's name for it is "partial contains 5.8S ribosomal RNA, internal transcribed spacer 2, and large subunit ribosomal RNA". The stretch from base 1 to 121 matches the Rfam family "5.8S ribosomal RNA", at positions 35 to 154 of the family's 154-position model. The record is from RNAcentral.
GAUGAAGAACGUAGCGAAAUGCGAUAAGUAGUGUGAAUUGCAGAAUUCAGCGAAUCAUCGAAUCUUUGAACGCACAUUGCGCCCUUCGGUUAUUCCUUAGGGCAUGCCUGUUCGAGCGUCAUUUCAACCUUCAAGCCUGGCUUGGUGUUGGGCGCUGUCCCGCCUCCGCGCGCGGACUCGCCCCAAAUGAAUUGGCAGUCGCACCCUCCGAGCCGCGAGCGCAGCACAAGUCGCGCGGGCGGAACUCUGGGGGGACGGACGCUCCACAAGACCCUUUCUCAGUCUUGACCUCGGAUCAGGUAGUGAUACCCGCUGAACUUAAGCAUAUCAAUAAGCGGAGGA